This 206-nucleotide long non-coding RNA is filed under the name Malus domestica (apple). Its description in RNAcentral is "long non-coding RNA (MDOM_LNC008283)". Lineage: Eukaryota; Viridiplantae; Streptophyta; Magnoliopsida; Rosales; Rosaceae. The record is from RNAcentral.
CUUUGGUCCUUAUAAGCGGCCUUGCCACUAUAUCAAGGUUCUAAACAAAACUAGGCACUGGUCGGGUGGUGGGUUGGGGUUUAGCACAUAGGCAGCUAGGCAGGGUUUAGGCGGAUUUAAGUAAAAUCCAUUAUAUAUCGUAUAAAUAAGUGCAUUCUUAUAAUUAAAAAAAAUAGAUAAUUGCAUUGAGAUACAUAAAUUGCAAA